RNAcentral lists this long non-coding RNA (600 nucleotides) under Elaeis guineensis (African oil palm). RNAcentral describes it as "long non-coding RNA (EGUI_LNC077677)". Lineage: Eukaryota; Viridiplantae; Streptophyta; Magnoliopsida; Arecales; Arecaceae. The record is from RNAcentral.
GGCCAAAACAAGGGACCAUGAGGUCCCCUCGAUGAUGUUCCGACCGACGGCGCAACCAGCGUGGGACGGCCGUCGGCAGGAGGAGAGGCGACCCGGCGGCAAGAGAAGGCCAAAACUGGUGGUCGGCGGUGACCACCGGCGUCGGAAUCAAAGGAAAACGGUCAAAAAAUGAAGCUUACUUUCGCAACAAAAUCCGGCGACUCCAGUUGCCGGCGAGCAUGCACAUCGGCACGGGAAGGAAGGGGGAGAAGAGAGGAAGGGGAGGAGGCUUACCUCCGUCGCCAGCGAAGCUUUUUCGGUGAGAAAUUGGACGGCACAGUGAUGGGUCUCCGUGAGGAAUUUCCGACGAUUGCCGCCGUUUUGCCCCAAGAUUUCUCGAUGAGAGGAGAGAGGAGGGUUCUCCUUAAAUAGAGCCGGAGGGAACUCGUCUCCGACUCCGAUUGGGAGCCGGCAAGAGGAGGAAGAAGACUCCCCCUUUGGGAGUCUUCUUCCCCCUUUUUUUUUUGGGCUUUGUUACAUGGGUUGGGAUUUUUACAUGGGUUGGGCCAUCACAUUCUUUCCUUCUAAAAGAAAUUUCGUUCUCGAAAUUUUUCUUGCCCG